GCAUUAGCUAGUUGGUAAGGUAACGGCUUACCAAGGCAACGAUGCAUAGCCGACCUGAGAGGGUGAUCGGCCACACUGGAACUGAGACACGGUCCAGACUCCUACGGGAGGCAGCAGUAGGGAAUCUUCCGCAAUGGGCGAAAGCCUGACGGAGCAACGCCGCGUGAGUGAUGAAGGUCUUCGGAUCGUAAAACUCUGUUAUUAGGGAAGAACAUAUGUGUAAGUAACUGUGCACAUCUUGACGGUACCUAAUCAGAAAGCCACGGCUAACUACGUGCCAGCAGCCGCGGUAAUACGUAGGUGGCAAGCGUUAUCCGGAAUUAUUGGGCGUAAAGCGCGCGUA
RNAcentral lists this ribosomal RNA (343 nucleotides) under Staphylococcus aureus. Its description in RNAcentral is "bacterial SSU rRNA". It matches the Rfam family "Bacterial small subunit ribosomal RNA", at positions 238 to 573 of the family's 1533-position model. Lineage: Bacteria; Bacillati; Bacillota; Bacilli; Caryophanales; Staphylococcaceae. The record is from RNAcentral.